CCUACGGGGGCAGCAAGCGUUGUUCGGAGUUACUGGGCGUAAAGAGUGUGUAGGCGGUUUGCCAAGUUCGGUGUGAAAUCUCCCGGCUUAACUGGGAGGGUGCGCCGAAAACUGGCAGGCUAGAGUGCGGGAGAGGAGAGCGGAAUUCCUGGUGUAGCGGUGAAAUGCGUAGAUAUCAGGAGGAACACCUGCGGUGUAGACGGCUCUCUGGACCGUUUCUGACGCUGAGACACGAAAGCGUGGGUAGCAAACA
This 253-nucleotide ribosomal RNA is filed under the name uncultured prokaryote. RNAcentral's name for it is "partial 16S ribosomal RNA". It matches the Rfam family "Bacterial small subunit ribosomal RNA", at positions 522 to 774 of the family's 1533-position model. The record is from RNAcentral.